AAAUCCGGACUGACCAGUCCUUU
This 23-nucleotide small nuclear RNA is filed under the name Arabidopsis thaliana (thale cress). RNAcentral describes it as "snRNA_16897". The record is from RNAcentral. Lineage: Eukaryota; Viridiplantae; Streptophyta; Magnoliopsida; Brassicales; Brassicaceae.